RNAcentral lists this ribosomal RNA (506 nucleotides) under uncultured bacterium. RNAcentral describes it as "partial 16S ribosomal RNA". It matches the Rfam family "Bacterial small subunit ribosomal RNA", at positions 28 to 523 of the family's 1533-position model. The record is from RNAcentral.
GAUGAACGCUAGCGGCAGGCCUAACACGUGCAAGUCGAGGGGCAGCACAUAAAGUGGUUUACUACUUUUGGUGGCGACCGGCGGACGGGUGCGUAACGCGUAUGCAACCUGCCUCCAACAGGGGGAUAACGGAGAGAAAUUUCCACUAAUACCCCAUAAUAUCAGAAUCGGCAUCGGUUUUGGUUGAAAACUCCGGUGGUUGGAGAUGGGCAUGCGUUGUAUUAGAUAGUUGGUGAGGUAACGGAUCACCAAGUCAACGAUACAUAGGGGGACUGAUAGGUUAGCCCCCCACACUGGUACUGAGACACGGACCAGACUCCUACGGGAGGCAGCAGUGAGGAAUAUUGGUCAAUGGGGGCAACCCUGAACCAGCCAUGCCGCGUGCAGGAAGACGGCUCUAUGAGUUGUAAACUGCUUUUACAAGGGGAUAAAUCGGUGUACGUGUACACCGUUGAAGGUACCUUGGGAAUAAGGAUCGGCUAACUCCGUGCCAGCCGCCGCCGUAC